This 73-nucleotide transfer RNA is filed under the name Priestia megaterium. RNAcentral describes it as "Bacillus megaterium tRNA-Lys". It matches the Rfam family "tRNA". Rfam says of the family: Transfer RNA (tRNA) molecules are approximately 80 nucleotides in length. Their secondary structure includes four short double-helical elements and three loops (D, anti-codon, and T loops). The record is from RNAcentral. Lineage: Bacteria; Bacillati; Bacillota; Bacilli; Caryophanales; Bacillaceae.
GAGCCAUUAGCUCAGUUGGUAGAGCAUCUGACCUUUAAUCAGAGGGUCGAAGGUCCGAGUCCUCCAUGGCCCA